GCCUAUAACGAAAUAUAUCAUGGGAUUAACUUGCAGAUGUCAGUGGAGACAAAAAUCCAUUUACUGGUGCCACUUGGUUCAGGCAUAUUUGAGAAGUGUUAUUUGAUACACAGUGAUCUUAUGGUCAGCAAAAGAGUUCAAAGCCUUGCAGAAACUGAAAAUGUCACUGACCAACCAACUAGUGUGGAAAUGACUGAUGUUGUAGAAAGGCAUGUAUGUAAAUGAAAGCCACAAUAUAACAAAUGCUGAGGAGAUGCAUGAGGCCCUAGUUUCUUCAGAUGGAGUGAAGGGGUGCUCUUUUGCUGCCAUUUUUCUACAUCCAGCUUGACAGAUGUCUUCCAAACCUGCGUGGACUGGAGUGUCCAAUUACAACAAUUUGGCUUUCUUGAUUCCUACAACAUGAGAAAAGGUGUCUCUCUUCCUUGAGCAGUUUUAAUAUGAGUGAUACUGAUGUUAAAGUUAAUUUGGCUUUUUCUGAGGCCACUGUGCCAACUGGGUCUAUACCGAGCAAGAUCACAAACAAGGAAAUGUUUUCUUGUCCAGAGAGGUCUUCCCUGAAGUCUUUUGCUACCAAGAGUGUAAUUCACAGGUCCUUUUUUUUUUUUUUUUUUUUUUUUUUUUUUUUUUAGACCACAGUUAUGAAAUGUGCCAAAAAAA
Molecule: long non-coding RNA, 657 nt
Organism: Lingula anatina
Lineage: Eukaryota; Metazoa; Brachiopoda; Lingulata; Lingulida; Lingulidae
Source: RefSeq, a predicted model, not a curated record